CCUUUUCUUGGCGGAGACAGGGUGUGUGAUUCUGCUCCCGUUAUUUAUGAAAGCUGAUGGAAAGGGCUCUGGCCCUCUCAGUGUCAUGUCUUGGGUGCCGGGCGGCUUCCCGUCCACCGGUUCUAUACUCAGUGCAGAGAUCCUU
RNAcentral lists this small nucleolar RNA (145 nucleotides) under Carlito syrichta (Philippine tarsier). RNAcentral describes it as "Small nucleolar RNA SNORA57 (ENSTSYG00000023150.2)". It matches the Rfam family "Small nucleolar RNA SNORA57". From Rfam's summary of the family: U99 belongs to the H/ACA class of snoRNAs which are thought to guide the sites of modification of uridines to pseudouridines, the target for this family is unknown. The record is from RNAcentral. Lineage: Eukaryota; Metazoa; Chordata; Mammalia; Primates; Tarsiidae.